GGCUCGUUGGUUAGGGGUAUGAUUCUCGCUUUGGGUGUGAGAGGUCCUGGGUUCAAAUCCCGGACGAGCCC
Danio rerio (zebrafish) is the source of this 71-nucleotide non-coding RNA. The record is from Rfam. Lineage: Eukaryota; Metazoa; Chordata; Actinopteri; Cypriniformes; Danionidae.